UGGAGGCUAAAGCUACAUUCUGUACUAAUUGUGUAAUUUGCAUGACAUUUGUCAUUCCCUUAUUUGAAAAAAACUGAGCAACAAUAACAACAACAAAACUAAUAAGAAAAUGCUCUGGUCUUUGGAUUUCUAAGGAUUCUCUUGGGUCUACAGGAAAACUGGGCGCUGACUCCUGGCUCCCCCAAACAGAGAUGACAUUUGGGAUGGGAAUCUGGUCACCGGGUGAGACUGACCAUGUACUUGGAAGAUUCCAGAAAGCAGACUCUGCCUUGCUGGUUUUGGUGAAACCCGCUGCCGUGUUGUGAGCUGCUCCAGGGAGAGGCCCAUGUGGCAGGGAACUGGGAGCAGCAACACUGAGACCCACAGCCCAACAGCCCACAAGGAGUGGGAUCCUGCCAACAGCCACGUCCACGAGCUAGGAAGUGAAUCUUUCCUCAGUAAAGUCUCCGCAUGAGACCUCAGCAUCAGCUCCUACCUUGACCACAGCUCUGUAGAAGACUGUGCCCAGCUAAGCCGUGCUCUCACGGACCCCUGGCCCCCAGAACUGUGACCGAAUACACAUGUGUGGACUGAAGUUACGUGGCCACAAGUAACUGACACCAAGUUCUAAGCUUGGUGCAUAAUGAAUGCUCACAAAGGAUGGCUGAGCAUAUCACCACAGUAGACACCUCCACAUCACCCUCCACCAGAGCGGAACUCUACCCGCCUGCAGGAUCUGAGCUCCCUGGGGCAUAGGACACAUUGGUAUGUUUACCCGGUGUUGAGCAGUCAUCCAGAACUGCAACGAUGGGCCAGGCUGGUGCCUGGAGUGAAGAUACUGCAGAAGUCCAACCUGUUUCUAGUGGGGAGACAGACAUGAAAUACACAUGAUAUAGAUGAUGCUACAGUUACAGAUGUCUGUGGGAUACAGAGGUUUACACAUGCAUGGACAACACUGUAACAAUCAUUGCUCCGUGCGGAGCACUUAUGGAGGACCACACACGGCAGUAAAGGCUUGUAUGCAGCAUCACACUUCAUUGCCAGAGGGACACUAGCAUCAGUGUGCCCACUUGAUGUGAGGGAAACUCAGACCGGGGAGGUUCACAGACCCAGGGUUCAAGUCCAGUCUGUGCCUCCAGAAUCUCCCCUCUCUUCACCAUGCUUUCUGCCUCACUUCAUUUACCUUUAUUAAUUGCUUCAUUCAGACCCUCUCUGUUUUCUUUGCCACCUAAUGGACCCAUCGAAGAGACUGGGAGCACUGUGUUAGGAGCCUUGGACUCCAGUGGCUUGGGUGAUAAUGCGGCCUAUGGAUCUGCCCCUCUGUUGACUAGCACUCAGGAAGGCUGCCUCAGAGUACAUAUCAGUUCUCACAAACAUGACGGCUGGGGCCACUGAAGGCCUUGGGAGUGUGUAGAUCAGUAGUUCUCAGCUGGGGGCGAUUUUGCCUCCCCAGGGGGCAUUUGACAAUGUCUAGCCACAUUUUUGGUUGUCACAGAUGAAGGAGAUGGUGCUACUGGCAUCUAGUGGGUAAGGCCAGGGAUGCUGCUAAGGAUCCUAUAACACAUGAGGCCACCUCAAGACAAAGAAUGACAUGACCCAACGUUGAAUAGUCCUGUUUUAGAUGAAAGACAAACCCCUUGGAGACGGUGUGUGUGUGUGUGUGUGUGUGUGUGUGUGAGAGAGAGAGAGAGAGAGAGAGAGAGAGAGAACUUGGGAAUGAAAAGGAAUCAGUCUUUUAGGGCUCACCAAAGGCAGUCAUGUCCACUCUAGUGAGAAUCACUAAGAGUCUUUUCUUCUGAGUUUGGAAGUCUAGCUCUAAGGUUAUUAAAAAAAAGAAAUGAAGUUUUCAUAAGCAGAGAGUGUAAUUAAUGGCCACAGGCUGUGAGUGCUUCAUUUACACUGAGGUUGCCCAGGUCCCCACUUGCUUUUGUGAUACCAUUUGUGAUAAUGCUACCUCCACGGGUUGAAGAUCUACCUCUGCUCUAGAAAUGAGAACAGCACACUGGGCACAGUUCUGGGGUUGAGGCAAGAUUUCUGGGAGCGUGUUUCAGCCAUUCCUAAAGAGAAAUUCUCUAAAGAAGGUAGCAUUUCAGUUGCGGAGUAAACAGGUUCGUUGGUGAUCACAGAGAAACCAGGCGUAUGUUGAGUGCCUCCCACACACCAGAUGCUGCCCUAAGCCCUCUGCAUCUCUUAAAUCCUCGUAACCACUUUAUGAGAUGGGAAUUGCCAUUAUGCCCAUUUGACAGAUGCAAAUUGAGGCACAGAGGGGUUCUGGAAGCUGCUUGAGGUCCCCCAGGCCAGACGGGUGAGAAUCUGGAUUCAAACUUAGGCCAGCUGCCUCCAGGACCCACACCCCAAGGCAUCUUCGCCCUAUGACCUCCGCAAUUGUUAUCUACCAGCAACUUUUUUCUCCACAUUUAGAAAUUCAAGACCUUAAUGUAGAAUUCUAUAUGAGGAAAUGGAUUUUUAUUGGCUGGGAAUGUUUGGUUUUCAGGUCUGCUAUUCAUUCAAGUGCCUCUUUGCUCCUUUCCUGGUUCCAAAUUGGCCACAAGAGAUUGUUUCCCUGUAGACUGUAUGAGUUGGUAUUCACGUGAUGAUCCCUUUGGCAAAAUGCACUCAGAAGGGUUCCUGUUCUCACUCAUGCACAUUCCCUCCUGAUUCUGUUUCUGUUCCUGAUAAUUUAGUUUCAAGAUCAUGUACAUAGCCAGCUUUCUCUUUAUACACCUAGGACCAGGCCGUCCGCCCACGGCAAUUUCAUUCUCCAUAUUAUUGUUCCUCCAGACAGAAACAAGAGCCCACUCGUCCAGACCCAAAGUCCUGGGCACAUCACAAGAUGUGCAGAAUUCAUGGCCCAAGGGCCUGAUGACUCCAGAAACCCCAAAUCCAUAUAUGGCUUCAUCCCAAGGAUUAAAGAGUUUUGAUCCUUCAUCCCGCUCAGCAAAAGAGACUUUGAUUGGCAGAGCCAGAGUCGAAAGGAGUUCUUAAAUCAGACUCUUCAUGCCAGAGUGCGAAUACAUAAUCUCACGCGUUUGCCAGGAAACACAAUACAUCAUCAUCCAUAAUCAUAAUACGGCGUCAUACAUCACCUGCUCAUAAUAAAUAGCGUAUCAUCUGCUCAUAAUAUUUUAUCAUAUAAUAUCAUGACAUCUGCUCACAACAGCAUAUAUUAUGUGAUCAACACUCAGCAUUUCCUCCUAGAAGGUGCGUCCCCGGAUAUAUUUGUUUAAAAAAAAAAAAUAGGUACCGCUGACUUUUCUUAGACCGUGGGGAGUAUGUCACCGGUCCUGGAGGCGGGCUUGAAAGGAGCUGGAAGGACCAUCACACUACAUCGCCUCUAGCUCCUCAUCCACGACACGGAGUUGAGGCUAGACAGAUGGCAAACACCUUCGUGAGCUCACGUCCCGUGACAAUAAAGCUGGUUAAGCAGCGGGUACCUAGAAGUUACCUUGUAUGCGUGUUUGAACACAUGGUCCCCAAAUUCUUGGAUGUCUCUCCACUGAGUGGGGAGUGUCGGUGUUCUUCCUCUUCGAUGUGGGUCUGUAACCGAGGAGACCCAUCGAAUCGCGAGGAGGUGAUGCUGGGCCACCAUGAGAAGUCUGAAGCCACCAAGCUGGGAGGAAGCCCGAGUCACAUGGGGAGACCAUGUGUAGGACUCCAGCUGACAAGCCUCUCCUUCGAGGCACUCCAGCUCCAGGUUCCAGACACACAAGUGAAGAUGCUUCCAGAUGAUUCCAGGCCCCCAGCUGCUGUGUUAUCGCCAGCCUUCCCGUGACCCCAGACAGCCAAGGUCCCAGACGGCAGGGAGCGGGCACGAGCCAUCCUCAGCGGGCCCUAUCAGAAGUGCCAGCUCGCAGAUUCUGGGUUGUGUUACAUCAUUACAUUGGGAAGUCACUCAGGCAACAAGAGAAGCUAGGACAGUAUGCCUGGGGGCCACGUAGACAGGCAGAUAGUAAUAGUGGCAAUGAUAAUAAUAAUAAUGUCCACAUUUAGGGAGGGCUUCUACUACCCUAGGAUAUGAAUGGGAUUGUUAUCAUUUGUGUUUGACAGCUAAGAAAACUGAGGCACAUGGAUUCAGUCAACAAACAGGGACUAAGAACCUACACCCAGCAGACACUAGCUUGGGGGCUGCCAAUUGGAUGAAGUAGAUGAAGAGCCUUAUCACUGCGGGAAUUCCAUUCUUACAGGGAGAAGCAAAGCAUAAAAAAGAAACAGAAAGGGGCGCCUAUGUGGCUCCGUGGGUUAAAGCCUCUGCCUUCGGCUCAGGUCAUGAUCUCAGGGUCUUGGGAUCGAGCCCCACAUUGGGCUCUCUGUUCAAUAGAGAACCUGCAUCCCCCUCUAUCUCUGCCUCCCUCUCUGCCUAGUUGUGAUCUCUGUCUGUCAAAUAAAUAAAUAAAUUAUUUUUAAAAAGAAAAAAAGAAAGAAAGAAACAGAAAAAAUCAGCAAUGCCCAAGUCAAGAAUGCAAUACUUGGAGCCCACGAAACCUGACUCAGGACAUAGGGGUCUGCUAGCCAUCGAGACCUCCUGGACAUGCAGGAUGGAGAAAUACUUAUCCCCACGUACGUUUACUAUGCCCUGAGAUAGACCAAAAGGUGACUCGAGAUGCUAACGCACGUUGACAACAGUGGUGCUGCCCUCACCGUGACGGACGCCAUCCUCCAGAAGCCUGGCUGGCCUGGGAGCUGGGUAGAAAUGCACAGUCUCGGGCCUCCCCCCAGACCUGCUGAGCCAGGCUGCAGCUGAGGAGGUGGUCGGGGUUUGCUGCUUCUAAGUGGAAGGGAGAGAGCAUCCCGGGUCUUUAAGGGGGGCCGGCUCACAAUGGCAGACAAGCAAGAGUCACGCAGGACAUGCUCAAAUGACAGGGGCACCCAGGUGCAGGUCACCGUCCUCACACACACUCGGUGGGGGACCCUCAGAACUUCCAGAGUUGGACCCUGGCAAAUCGGGCAUUUCUGUUCUGUUGACAAUCGCUUGUCUGGGGGCAUCCCGGCACCCCUCCCAAUGUGAGAAUUUCUAUCAGGCUAAUAUUUUUAAAACAGACUUGUCUUUAUUUACUGUAUUCUUUAAAAUUUCAUAGGGAAUCACCAAGAAGUGCAAUUACCGAAGUAUAUAUGUAUUUUUAUGCUUGUGUUGAGCAUCUAAUCUUUUUGUUUCUUAAUCCUGUCUUUAAAAAAUUUAUGUACAAGCCCAUACAUAUUUCCUCGCCGUCACUGCUAGAAAUUAGAGACAUAUUUACAGAGAAACACUUUAAAAAAUAAAAUUAAAAAUGACUCAAUUCCAGGA
This is a long non-coding RNA of Mustela lutreola (European mink), 5260 nucleotides long. RefSeq lists it as uncharacterized. NCBI's taxonomy places the organism in Eukaryota, Metazoa, Chordata, Mammalia, Carnivora, Mustelidae. The transcript has 2 exons. The record is from RefSeq and is a predicted model, not a curated record.